UGCUGGGAUUACAAACGUGAGCCACCGCACCAGGCCAGAAUUAUCUACUUUGAUGCCAUUAUUUUACAGAGUAGACACUAAGGCUUAGAAAAGCUGAGCAACUUGUUAAAUUCUACUCAGUUCUAAUGCGAGAUAUAUGCAGUUCCCUGUUCUGGCCUGUUCCUGCCUAUUGUUCCAUGUUUUAAUAGAGGGAUCAGGAGAUGGGGGAGAUAGAAGUUAAAUCACAUUCUUUAAUACUUUUUGACACAGAAGCAACAUAAUGGUACCAUGUGAUAUCCACUCUCAUUUUGCAAAACAGGAAAUUGAGAAAGAGAAAUGGAGUUAGGCAUUUAGAGAGAGUUUUACGCUCUUAAGCCAUUGGAUGGGAAACCUGAUUUCUGGUAGGAGAGCUAUGCUGUAAAAGGUGUCUGAACACAAGACUAAGCUGGAAUCUUACCCUGAGAUAUGGCAAUCCAUUUUUCAGUUCAAGAUGAAUCCUCCCACUUCAAAUACUCAGACGAAACCUCUCAAGUCAAUAUUGCCCUGCAGACAUCUUGUGCCUAUGCAUAAGAGCUAAGUGAUUUCUUUCUCUGGAGCUAGGUUUCUGCUCAAAUCCAGGUUUUUUUUCCAAGUGAAACAACCACAGGGAGCCUUUCCUGCCUGGUCCAACUGGUGAAACAGAGCCAAAAAUGUUUGUGAUUCUAUUUAUAGCUGUCUAGUGGUUGAACAGACUGGGCUGAGAAUUCCUGGGGUGAAGUAUUUGGUGCCUGAAGUCUGGAAUGCCAGUUUUACACAGCUUGUUUUUAGAUGCAAGGAUUUCCAUAAAAACAAGGCCAGGCACAUAGAACUUUUUCAGGAGCAAAGGGCAAGAAAAUGUUUUUAAAAAGGGGAAUAAUCCUAGCAAAAUAGUUUUAUAGAUUUUUUUUUGGAAAGCCAUGCCAUUUUCUCCCCUCCUUAUUACUAGUUGGUAAUGUGCAAAACAAUGCUAUCUCAAAAAUAAGAAAAUAGUGAAAGAGAACAUAUGCCCCUGUUGUGGGUUAAAUAGGGACUCCCAGAGGAUAUGUCCUUUCAGGACCUCAGAUGUAAUUAAAGUAGGGAUCUUGAGGUGAGAUCAUCCUGGAGGAGGGUGGGCCCUAAAUCCAAAGAUUAACGUGUUUAUGAAAGACUGAGACAAAGAGAAGAAGGCCCUGUAAAGCUGAGCACAGAUUGGAGUUUUGUAGCUGUGAGCCAAGGAAAGCCAGGAGAAGCAAGGAAGGAUGAGUCUCUAGAGCCUGCAGAGGGAGCACAGCCCUGCCAACACCUGGAUUUCUGAAGUCUGCCCUACAAACUGUGAUGAGAGAUCUUUUUAAAGGCAAAGACAGCAAUUUCCUGGGGAUCUAUGAGUACACUGUUCAACUACAGUACAGGAUAUGUGAGCUAAGUCAAGAGGAUUGGAGGGAAUGUGUACAAUAUACUACCAGA
This 1440-nucleotide long non-coding RNA is filed under the name Homo sapiens (human). RNAcentral describes it as "HSALNT0346332". The record is from RNAcentral. Lineage: Eukaryota; Metazoa; Chordata; Mammalia; Primates; Hominidae.